GAAAGCCGGUCUCAGUUCGGAUUGGGGUCUGCAACUCGACCUCAUGAAGUCGGAGUCGCUAGUAAUCGCAGAUCAGCAACGCUGCGGUGAAUACGUUCCCGGGGCUUGUACACACCGCCCGUCAAGUCAUGAAAGUUGGUAACACCCGAAGCCGGUGGCCUAACCGUUGUGGGGGAGCCGUCGAAGGUGGGACUGGUGAUUAGGACUAAGUCGUAACAAGGUAGCCGUACCGGAAGGUGCGGCUGGAUCACCUCCUUUCUAAGGAG
RNAcentral lists this ribosomal RNA (266 nucleotides) under Cutibacterium acnes. Its description in RNAcentral is "partial 16S ribosomal RNA". It matches the Rfam family "Bacterial small subunit ribosomal RNA", at positions 1277 to 1533 of the family's 1533-position model. The record is from RNAcentral. Lineage: Bacteria; Bacillati; Actinomycetota; Actinomycetes; Propionibacteriales; Propionibacteriaceae.